Ornithorhynchus anatinus (platypus) is the source of this 432-nucleotide long non-coding RNA. RefSeq lists it as uncharacterized. The transcript is spliced from 3 exons. The record is from RefSeq and is a predicted model, not a curated record. NCBI's taxonomy places the organism in Eukaryota, Metazoa, Chordata, Mammalia, Monotremata, Ornithorhynchidae.
UUUUAAUUAGAAAAGACUGCCCCGUUGUCAGUGAUCACAUUUCAAAGCCUUCCAAGAACCCUGGUCUAAGUGGUGAGGCACAAGUCACGUUCUCCUGAUACCGAGGACAACAGGGCCUGCUCAACUCCUGCUCGUUGUUGUCCAAUCCCGAGACCCCAGUCCCAGGAGGCCAAACCAAGGAGUCUGCCUUGCACCAUGGAACCCUUGGGUAUUCAUUAAGAACACCAGAGCUAAAUCACAGCAUGGGCCCUUUGCAGAGUCCAACAGACUGCAGAAAGGAAACAGAUCAUAUGACAUACAGCUGUAAGGAAGGAAGCCUCUCAAGACCGCCUCCAGAAGAAAGCUAAACAUUUAAAGCAUCGAUUUAAAGAAUAGUCAAAAUCCUAUCUAGAUUGUCAUGGACACAAAACAGAUUAAAACCGUUUUGAACUC